This 2432-nucleotide ribosomal RNA is filed under the name Clostridium perfringens. RNAcentral describes it as "partial 23S ribosomal RNA". It matches the Rfam family "Bacterial large subunit ribosomal RNA", at positions 303 to 2747 of the family's 2925-position model. Lineage: Bacteria; Bacillati; Bacillota; Clostridia; Eubacteriales; Clostridiaceae. The record is from RNAcentral.
GGACAUAACAUAAAAGUGGAGGCUAUUGUAACUGAAGAGAACUGGAAAGUUCCACCGUAGAAGGUAAUAGUCCUGUAAGUGAAACGAGAAGACCACGAGUUAUGAUCCAGAGUACCACGAGACACGUGAAACCUUGUGGGAAGCAGGGAGGACCACCUCCCAAGGCUAAAUACUACCUGAUGACCGAUAGUGAAGCAGUACCGUGAGGGAAAGGUGAAAAGAACCCCGGGAGGGGAGUGAAAUAGAACCUGAAACCGUGUGCCUACAACCGCUCAGAGCCCCUUAUGAGGGUGAUGAGGUGCUUUUUGUAGAACGAGCCAACGAGUUACGGUAUGUAGCAAGGUUAAGUACUUAAGGUACGGAGCCGAAGGGAAACCGAGUCUGAAUAGGGCGACUAGUUGCAUGCCGUAGACCCGAAACCGGGUGACCUAUCCAUGGCCAGGUUGAAGCGAGGGUAAAACCUCGUGGAGGACCGAACCACGUUGCUGUUGAAAAAGCAUGGGAUGAGCUGUGGAUAGCGGAGAAAUUCCAAUCGAACCCGGAGAUAGCUGGUUCUCUCCGAAAUAGCUUUAGGGCUAGCGUCGAGUAUGAGUAGUGGAGGUAGAGCACUGAAUGGGCUAGGGGGCAUAGCGCUUACCGAACCUUAUCAAACUCCGAAUGCCACAUACUUUGAGCUCGGCAGUCAGACUACGAAUGAUAAGAUCCGUGGUCAAAAGGGAAACAGCCCAGAUCGUCAGCUAAGGUCCCAAAGUGUAAGUUAAGUGGGAAAGGAUGUGAGAUUUCUAAGACAACUAGGAUGUUGGCUUAGAAGCAGCCAUUCAUUAAAAGAGUGCGUAAUAGCUCACUAGUCGAGAGAUCUUGCGCCGAAAAUGUAACGGGGCUAAACUUACCACCGAAGCUACGGGCUUGAACUUAGUUCAAGCGGUAGGAGAGCGUCGUAACCGGGCUGAAGUCGUACCGUAAGGAGCGGUGGACUGGUUACGAGUGAGAAUGUUGGCAUCAGUAGCGAGAUGUGGGUGAGAAUCCCACAGGCCGAAAACCUAAGGUUUCCUCAGGAAGGUUCGUCCGCUGAGGGUUAGUCGGGACCUAAGCCGAGGCCGAAAGGCGUAGGUGAUGGACAACUGGUUGAUAUUCCAGUACCACUACCAUCGUUAUUAUCGAUGGCGUGACGCAGGAGGAUAGUGUGUGCUAGCUAUUGGAUGCUAGUCUAAGCGUUUAGGCAGUGAGAGUAGGCAAAUCCGCUCUCAUAAUGCUGAGGCGUGAUGGGGAAGGUUCUACGGAACCGAAGUACAUGAUUCCACGCUGCCAAGAAAAGCGUCUAGAGAGAGAAGUAGUGCCCGUACCGCAAACCGACACAGGUAGGUGAGGAGAGAAUCCUAAGGCCGGCGGAAGAAUUACAGUUAAGGAACUCGGCAAAUUGACCCCGUAAGUUCGCGAGAAGGGGUGCCUACGAGAGUAGGCCGCAGAGAAUAGGCCCAAGCAACUGUUUAGCAAAAACACAGGUCUCUGCUAAAGCGUAAGCUGAUGUAUAGGGGCUGACGCCUGCCCGGUGCUGGAAGGUUAAGGGGAACACUUAGCGCAAGCGAAGGUGUGAACUUAAGCCCCAGUAAACGGCGGCCGUAACUAUAACGGUCCUAAGGUAGCGAAAUUCCUUGUCAGGUAAGUUCUGACCCGCACGAAUGGCGUAAUGACUUGGGCACUGUCUCAACUGUAAAUCCGGCGAAGUUGUAGUGCGAGUGAAGAUGCUCGCUACCCGCGAUUGGACGGAAAGACCCCGUAGAGCUUUACUGUAGCUUAGCAUUGAGUUUUGGUAUUGUCUGUACAGGAUAGGUGGGAGACUAGGAAACCAGGGCGUCAGCCUUGGUGGAGUCAACCUUGGGAUACCACCCUGACAGUACUGAAAUUCUAACUGGCGGCCAUGAAUCUGGUCACAGGACAUUGUUAGGUGGGCAGUUUGACUGGGGCGGUCGCCUCCUAAAAAGUAACGGAGGCGCCCAAAGGUUCCCUCAGAACGGUCGGAAAUCGUUCGAAGAGUGCAAAGGCAGAAGGGAGCCUGACUGCGACACCCACAAGUGGAGCAGGGACGAAAGUCGGGCUUAGUGAUCCGGUGGUACCUCGUGGGAGGGCCAUCGCUCAACGGAUAAAAGCUACCUCGGGGAUAACAGGCUGAUCUCCCCCAAGAGUCCACAUCGACGGGGAGGUUUGGCACCUCGAUGUCGGCUCGUCGCAUCCUGGGGCUGAAGUAGGUCCCAAGGGUUGGGCUGUUCGCCCAUUAAAGCGGCACGCGAGCUGGGUUCAGAACGUCGUGAGACAGUUCGGUCCCUAUCCGUCGCGGGCGUAGGAAAUUUGAGAGGAGCUGUCCUUAGUACGAGAGGACCGGGAUGGACUGACCUCUGGUGUACCAGUUGUUCCGCCAGGAGCACAGCUGGGUA